Molecule: ribosomal RNA, 2286 nt
Filed under: Triticum aestivum (bread wheat)
Lineage: Eukaryota; Viridiplantae; Streptophyta; Magnoliopsida; Poales; Poaceae
Description: partial small subunit ribosomal RNA
Source: RNAcentral
AUGAAAACAGCAGAAACAUAUGCCAUUGAGUUUGUCAGUGAAACCGGCAAGCCCCUACAACACACCUCAAAGUUUAUCAACCAAUGCGGAGUCGUUGUUAGAGACAACGUCCCGAUCACCGUCCAGGAAUGGAAGGAGCCAAAGAAGGCAUGUAUUGGUUUCAGUUUUGUCGACAAGAGAACGAAAAAGGAUUGCUGGAGAAAGCUUAUGGAACAUUUCAUUCUACCUCCGGAAUACAACAAAGUCGAUGAAUUCGGUAACGAUGUUCCGGGUGGACGUCAGAGGAGGAGGCUAGUUAAAGAGUUCGCUCUUCAGAAGAUGGGCGAAGCAUUCCGGAACUUCAAGAAAAAUUUAACCCGUGACUAUGUCAACAAGGGCAAGACUCCGGAUUUCAAUGGACAACAUGAGAAACUGAAAGAUGAUUGGCCAGAAUUUGUGAGGCAAAAGCAAUCGGAGCAUUUCAAGGAAAUAUCGAAAAAAAAUAAGGAUAAUGCGAGUAAGAAAAAGUUCCAUCAUAUUAUGCGGCCAGGAGGAUACCGCCUUUCGGAGCCUAGGUGGCAGAAGAUGGAGGAGGACCUGAGGGUGCGAGGAAUCCCUCUAGGUACAGAGGGAUGGGACCCAAGGGCCAAAAGCUGGUGGUACGGGCAUGGGGGAUCGCUAGACCCGGAGACAGGGGUGUGUGUUCACCGGCAGAGACAGUUUGCUCCCACCCAAGCCCUUAUUGACGCAAUGACCCAAGCUCAAGAGGGCUUGAUCAAGUUAAACAGAGAAAAAGACGCACUGACAAUAGCCCUCGGGAAUGAUGAACACGGAGGACGUGUACGAGGCAAAGGCAAAGUUCCGUGGAAAGUAGGGUUUUCCCAGGACAAUGACCCGUACUGUUACAGAAGCCGUAAGAGAAAGACGGACCGGGAUGCAGAUCUUAUGACGAAGUUUGCAUCGAAACUCCAUGAGUUGAAGCAGACCGUGCAUGAACUAGUAAAAGAAAAAUCGGCUGCAGGGCCGCAUGAAGAUCAUGAAGCGGAUCGCGGAAGCCAGCAGCGGAGAAGCAGCGUGGCUUCCACGGAUGCCCCGCCUGGUGCUAGUGCACCGAUGAUCGAGAUUCGUGCACCGGAGCCUCACUACCCCGUGGAUGAUGUAAAGGAGAUGAAAGAAUGUGAUCUGCAUUAUCCCGUGGGGAACGUUUCCACGAAGGUAGCUAGCGGCAGUGCUUUACCCUGUACACCUGGAGCACUCCACCACAACAACCCCAUUGCAUAUGGCUAUGCUCGUGUCACGGUGGAAGACAUAGUCCAAGGCUUUGAGGACCUGGAGAUUGACAAACCUACACCCGAAGGGGAGAGAAGACUUGGAGAUGUCAAGCGCCAGUUCAUUCUAUGGAAAAAGAAGUACAUAGUGUUUCCAGGCGAGGUGCCAAGGCUAGCAAGUCCACCCCCCUCCGAUGGUGGUGGUGGUGGUGGUGGCGGUGGUGGCGGUGGUGGUGGUCGUGGUGGUUCACCUACACCUCCUUCAUGCCAUUCGACGCCGUCCCCCCAUCCACAACCUCCGGCGGGUACGACGCCCCCCAAUCCUCCUCCGGCGGGUACGACGCCCCCCAAUCCACCUCCGGCGAAGAAGCAGAAGCAGGCGGACACCAAGGAAACCUGCUCCUGGACUAUUAACCCGGACCCUUAUGUACCUAAGACCACAAGGGUACCGGAGCCAUCACUGAAGCCUCUCCUCCCAAGGCCUGGGGAACUUAGUGAAGCUGAAACCAAAUUGGCCGCGUCUGCUGAUUAUGAGAAAUGGAAGGCGGAUAUGAAGGCGAUAAAAGAGUCUGAGCCCAAGCAAUUAUUCACUGAGAAGCAAAAGAAGUGGGCUAAUGAUUUUUUGACGACACCGUCCCAAGCCGAGCUGAAUAUGCCUGACGACUAUGGACAUGAACUUCGUAGGCAAGCAAAAAUAUUGAAGGAGGAGAAAGAAGAAAGUAAAAAAAGCGGGAAACAAGUUGACCAGCUCGGGAUGCAGAAGAAACAAUCGAUCCCCCCGCUCAUAGUGAAAGCCAGUCCGGAAGAGGACCCCGAGAUCAUAGCAGCUGCGGCAGCACUUGGAUUGACUGUAGCGAGUGCCAUGAAACAAGCGUCCGAGAUGGGUUUGACUCUUCGUGCCUUCUUAGGCCUUGAGGAUGCGCCAGUAUGUGAGAUAGCAUUACAAUAUGUGCGGAAUGGGCCUCUUGUCGAGCCUGCGCGGGAGAAGAGUCUACCGCCACAAAUGCGAAUCUGCUACGUUGGUACAAGCAAUUCAUAA